CAACCCUCGACCUUAGUUGCCAGCAUUCAGUUGGGCACUCUAAGGUGACUGCCGGCUAAAAGUCGGAGGAAGGUGGGGAUGACGUCAAAUCAUCAUGCCCCUUAUGACCUGGGCUACACACGUGCUACAAUGGGCGGUACAAAGGGUCGCGAACCCGCGAGGGGGAGCCAAUCCCAAAAAGCCGCUCUCAGUUCGGAUUGCAGGCUGCAACUCGCCUGCAUGAAGCCGGAAUCGCUAGUAAUCGCGGAUCAGCAUGCCGCGGUGAAUACGUUCCCGGGCCUU
This 282-nucleotide ribosomal RNA is filed under the name uncultured Anoxybacillus sp. Its description in RNAcentral is "partial 16S ribosomal RNA". It matches the Rfam family "Bacterial small subunit ribosomal RNA", at positions 1099 to 1382 of the family's 1533-position model. The record is from RNAcentral. Lineage: Bacteria; Bacillati; Bacillota; Bacilli; Caryophanales; Anoxybacillaceae.